UACGGAGGGUGCGAGCGUUAAUCGGAAUACUGGGCGUAAAGCGCACGCAGGCGGUCUGUUAAGCAAGAUGUGAAAGCCCCGGGCCUCAACCUGGGAACUGGCAUUUUGAACUUGGCAGGCUGAGAGUCUUGGAGAGGGGAGGUGGAAUUG
Molecule: ribosomal RNA, 150 nt
Filed under: uncultured bacterium
Lineage: Bacteria
Description: partial 16S ribosomal RNA
Rfam family: Bacterial small subunit ribosomal RNA
Source: RNAcentral